Molecule: ribosomal RNA, 253 nt
Filed under: uncultured bacterium
Lineage: Bacteria
Description: partial 16S ribosomal RNA
Rfam family: Bacterial small subunit ribosomal RNA
Source: RNAcentral
GACGAAGGUGGCGAGCGUUGUUCGGAAUCACUGGGCAUAAAGCGCACGUAGGCGGCGGCGUAAGUCGGAUGUGAAAUCCCUCGGCCUAACCGAGGAACUGCGUCCGAUACUGCGUUGCUUGGGGACCAAAGGGGUGCAUGGAAUUUCCGGUGGAGCGGUGAAAUUCGUAGAUAUCAGGAGGAACACCAGUGGCGAAGGCGGCUUCCUGGACACCAACUGACGCUGAGACGCGAAAGCGUGGGGAGCAAACAGG